This 767-nucleotide ribosomal RNA is filed under the name uncultured bacterium. RNAcentral describes it as "bacterial SSU rRNA". It matches the Rfam family "Bacterial small subunit ribosomal RNA", at positions 285 to 1043 of the family's 1533-position model. The record is from RNAcentral.
AGCUUGUCUGAGAGGACGACCAGCCACACUGGAACUGAGACACGGUCCAGACUCCUACGGGAGGCAGCAGUGGGGAAUUUUGGACAAUGGGCGAAAGCCUGAUCCAGCAAUGCCGCGUGAGUGAAGAAGGCCUUCGGGUUGUAAAGCUCUUUUGUCAGGGAAGAAACGGUGAGAGCUAAUAUCUCUUGCUAAUGACGGUACCUGAAGAAUAAGCACCGGCUAACUACGUGCCAGCAGCCGCGGUAAUACGUAGGGUGCAAGCGUUAAUCGGAAUUACUGGGCGUAAAGCGUGCGCAGGCGGUUUUGUAAGUCUGAUGUGAAAUCCCCGGGCUCAACCUGGGAAUUGCAUUGGAGACUGCAAGGCUAGAAUCUGGCAGAGGGGGGUAGAACUCCACGUGUAGCAGUGAAAUGCGUAGAUAUGUGGAGGAACACCGAUGGCGAAGGCAGCCCCCUGGGUCAAGAUUGGCGCUCAUGCACGAAAGCGUGGGGAGCAAACAGGAUUAGAUACCCUGGUAGUCCACGCCCUAAACGAUGUCUACUAGUUGUCGGGUCUUAAUUGACUUGGUAACGCAGCUAACGCGUGAAGUAGACCGCCUGGGGAGUACGGUCGCAAGAUUAAAACUCAAAGGAAUUGACGGGGACCCGCACAAGCGGUGGAUGAUGUGGAUUAAUUCGAUGCAACGCGAAAAACCUUACCUACCCUUGACAUGGCUGGAAUCCUCGAGAGAUUGAGGAGUGCUCGAAAGAGAACCAGUACACAGGUGCUG